GAUGAACGCUGGCGGCGUGCUUAACACAUGCAAGUCGAACGAGAAUCAACGGAUUGAGGAUUCGUCCAAAUGAAGUUGAGGAAAGUGGCGGACGGGUGAGUAACGCGUGAGGAACCUGCCUCGGAGUGGGGAAUAACAGUUGGAAACGACUGCUAAUACCGCAUAAGCCCACGGCCCGGCAUCGGGUUGAGGGAAAAGGAUUUAUUCGCUUCAGGAUGGACUCGCGUCCAAUUAGCUAGUUGGUGGGGUAACGGCCCACCAAGGCGACGAUUGGUAGCCGGACUGAGAGGUUGAACGGCCACAUUGGGACUGAGACACGGCCCAG
This 325-nucleotide ribosomal RNA is filed under the name uncultured bacterium. Its description in RNAcentral is "bacterial SSU rRNA". It matches the Rfam family "Bacterial small subunit ribosomal RNA", at positions 28 to 334 of the family's 1533-position model. The record is from RNAcentral.